AGCGCUUUGGAGAUCCCGAGGAUCUGUAUCUUGCUUCAACAGUGUUUGGACGGAACAGACCCGGGGACUCCCACUUUAUUCACUUCCAGCCGCCUUACAAGUCUCUCCAGUCGCAGCCUCCGGGACCAUCUCCUUGCCGCCUUCGGCUCCUAGGACCAGCCAGCCCCGUCUUGGCGGUUAGCUCCAUACUCCGGAUCAGCCAUGACCUCUCAGAUUCGUCAGAAUUAUUCCACCGAAGUGGAAGCUGCCGUGAACGGCCUGGUCAACUUGCACCUGCGGGCCUCUUACACCUACCUCUCUCUGGGCUUCUUUUUUGAUCAGGAUGACGUGCUUUGGAGGGCGUAGGCCACUUCUUUCGCGAAUUGGCGGAGGAGAAGCGCGAGGGCGCCGAGCGUCUCCUCAAGUUGCAGAACGAACUCGGGGGCCGUGCACUCUUCCAAGAUGCGCAGAAGCCAUCUCAAGAUGAGUGGAGUAAAACCCUGGAGGCCAUGGAAGCUGCCUUGGCCCUGGAAGAAGAACCUGAACCAGGCCCUCUUGGCAUCCCCUGGGUUCUGCCAGCACAGACCCUCAUCUCUGUGUCUUCUUGGGGAAGCCACUUCCUGGAUAAAGAGGUGAAGUUCAUCAAGAAGAUGGGCAACCACCUGACCAACCUCCGUAGGGUGGCAGGGCCACAACCAGUGCAGACUGGCGUGGCCCAGGCAUCUCUGGGCAAGUAUCUCUUUGAGUGCCUCCCUCUCAAGCAUGACUAG
RNA transcript from Rattus rattus (black rat), 749 nucleotides. It is a transcript of the gene named ferritin light chain 1-like, with no coding region annotated. The transcript has a single exon. NCBI's taxonomy places the organism in Eukaryota, Metazoa, Chordata, Mammalia, Rodentia, Muridae. The record is from RefSeq and is a predicted model, not a curated record.